CUAGUAAGACCCCUUAUAGACGAUGAGGUUGAUAGGUUCGGUGUGGAAGUGCAGUAAUGCAUGGAGCUGACGAAUACUAAUCGGUCGAGGACUUAUCCAC
RNAcentral lists this ribosomal RNA (100 nucleotides) under Brevibacillus laterosporus. Its description in RNAcentral is "partial 23S ribosomal RNA". It matches the Rfam family "Bacterial large subunit ribosomal RNA", at positions 2825 to 2925 of the family's 2925-position model. The record is from RNAcentral. RNAcentral also lists the same sequence under 1 other name. Lineage: Bacteria; Bacillati; Bacillota; Bacilli; Caryophanales; Paenibacillaceae.